UUGUUGUACACACACAAGUGACACCUCAACAGCAAAACAACGAAGGUCCCAAUUAAGCCAAACUAGCAAAUGUUCCUUUUUUUUUUAAAUCUGCGACAGAAAAUUAGAGCUGUUCUGUCUGGCGUGACCAUAGCGGUACAUGAUUGGAGAAAGGAAAUGACAAUCAAUGAAACAACCAAUCAGAACUACAGAAAAGCAGCACAACAGUCCCGCCUUCUUGUAAAGUAGCCGUUUACGACUGACCGUUUGUCCGGACCGGUCCGGUCCUUUGAAGGUGCUUCACUCCACCCGGUUAACUGAAAUGGAGUUUAAAGGGCUUCUGUCUAAUAUCAGGAAGAGAAAGAGAGAAAAAACAACAACAGAAACUGGCAGAGUAGGAACCUCCCAGCAGAGGUCAUCUCCUCCUACUACUCCCCUGGUAGUAAUGGCAGAAAUCCUAGUAGUGUCUGUUAAGGGAUCUCACGCUCCUCUACAGUUUGAGUAAAUUCUUAAAAACUUUCACAACUUCAAAACUAUAUUGACGUAGAGUGAGAAAAGUACUAAGUUACCACAUACCUCUGCAGCAGUAGCACAAAAGGUCAUAAAAUGACCCUGCAGACAAAAUUCAUAGAAAACGUACCAACCUAUGGCUUUAAUCACUCUGGUUUAUCCAUUUAAAACUUUUUUGAAAACACAUUAAGAAUUAUGUAUAAUGUAUAUCUUUUUAAGAUUUAAACUAUUAAUUUGACAUGUUUCUGAGGACAUUUCUACAUGUUUUAUAUUGAUUUUAUUACAUAGCUUUGGAUUUACUAUAACCCUGGAUUCAAGUAACAAUUGCUGGAUUAUUGAAUGUUUUAUAUUUACCAAAUUUUACACAUUUUUUGCUCAUCUUUGUCUUUCUCU
Long non-coding RNA from Micropterus salmoides (largemouth bass), 882 nucleotides. RefSeq lists it as uncharacterized. The record is from RefSeq and is a predicted model, not a curated record. Lineage: Eukaryota; Metazoa; Chordata; Actinopteri; Centrarchiformes; Centrarchidae. The transcript is spliced from 3 exons.